This 583-nucleotide ribosomal RNA is filed under the name Dujonia zeylanoides. Its description in RNAcentral is "[Candida] zeylanoides partial large subunit ribosomal RNA". It matches the Rfam family "Eukaryotic large subunit ribosomal RNA", at positions 69 to 670 of the family's 3401-position model. The record is from RNAcentral. Lineage: Eukaryota; Fungi; Ascomycota; Pichiomycetes; Serinales; Debaryomycetaceae.
AGGUCAUUGCUCAGUACGGCGAGUGAAGCGGCAAAAGCUCAAAUUUGAAAUCUAGCACUUUCAGUGUUCGAGUUGUAAUUUGAAGAAGGUAACUUUGGUUUUGGCUCUUGUCUAUGUUCCUUGGAACAGGACGUCACAGAGGGUGAGAAUCCCGUGCGAUGAGAUGCCCAAUUCCAUGUAAAGUGCUUUCGAAGAGUCGAGUUGUUUGGGAAUGCAGCUCUAAGUGGGUGGUAAAUUCCAUCUAAAGCUAAAUAUUGGCGAGAGACCGAUAGCGAACAAGUACAGUGAUGGAAAGAUGAAAAGAACUUUGAAAAGAGAGUGAAAAAGUACGUGAAAUUGUUGAAAGGGAAGGGCUUGAGAUCAGACUUGGUAUUUUGCGUUCCCUUCCUUUUUGGUUGGGUUCCUCGCAGUUUACUGGGCCAGCAUCGGUUUGGAUGGUAGGAUAAUGACAUUGGAAUGUAGCUUUACUUCGGUGAAGUGUUAUAGACUUUGUUGAUACUGCCUAUCUAGACCGAGGACUGCGUCUUUGACUAGGAUGCUGGCGUAAUGAUCUUAAGCCGCCCGUCUUGAAACACGGAACAAA